RNAcentral lists this ribosomal RNA (253 nucleotides) under uncultured bacterium. RNAcentral describes it as "partial 16S ribosomal RNA". It matches the Rfam family "Bacterial small subunit ribosomal RNA", at positions 524 to 776 of the family's 1533-position model. The record is from RNAcentral.
UACGAAGGGGGCUAGCGUUGCUCGGAAUUACUGGGCGUAAAGGGCGCGUAGGCGGCGGUGUUAGUCAGGCGUGAAAGCCCUGGGCUCAACCUGGGGACUGCGUCCGAUACUGGCAGGCUUGAAUCCGGGAGAGGGAUGCGGAAUUCCAGGUGUAGCGGUGAAAUGCGUAGAUAUCUGGAGGAACACCGGUGGCGAAGGCGGCAUCCUGGACCGGUAUUGACGCUGAGGCGCGAAAGCCAGGGGAGCAAACGGG